Molecule: ribosomal RNA, 468 nt
Filed under: uncultured bacterium
Lineage: Bacteria
Description: partial 16S ribosomal RNA
Rfam family: Bacterial small subunit ribosomal RNA
Source: RNAcentral
GACGAACGCUGGCGGCGUGCUUAACACAUGCAAGUCGAACGGAAAGGCCCUGCUUUUGUGGGGUGCUCGAGAGGCGAACGGGUGAGUAACACGUGAGUAACCUGCCCUUGACUUUGGGAUAACUUCAGGAAACUGGGGCUAAUACCGGAUAGGAGCUCCUGCUGCAUGGUGGGGGUUGGAAAGUUUCGGCGGUUGGGGAUGGACUCGCGGCUUAUCAGCUUGUUGGUGGGGUAGUGGCUUACCAAGGCUUUGACGGGUAGCCGGCCUGAGAGGGUGACCGGCCACAUUGGGACUGAGAUACGGCCCAGACUCCUACGGGAGGCAGCAGUGGGGAAUAUGGCACAAUGGGCGGAAGCCUGAUGCAGCAACGCCGCGUGCGGGAUGACGGCCUUCGGGUUGUAAACCGCUUUCGCCUGUGACGAAGCGUGAGUGACGGUAAUGGGUAAAGAAGCACCGGCUAACUACGUG